AGGACCUGUGUGAGAGUUUACACCUUCACAACUACCCGCAGCUGAUGCAAAACUGUGUCAGGAUAUCAGAGGAAUGGCGCAAGCAAAUAAAUUUCCAGAUGCUGUCGCCUUUCACCUGCCCACACCUGCCCUUGCCUGCCAUGCCUGCCACGCCUGCCCUGCACCAUGUCCCCUUUCCAAGCCUCGCGGGGAGACUGAGAAGUCAUGCUCGAGAAGAUUGUGUUGGAGGCAUGAGAAGAACACGUGGGGUUAAUGAAUGACAAGGAGGUGCAGGAAGACAAGGAAAAGAAGGUUAGUUAAGUAAUGUAUCGUAAUUCUUUUGUUGAGCA
Molecule: long non-coding RNA, 329 nt
Organism: Portunus trituberculatus (swimming crab)
Lineage: Eukaryota; Metazoa; Arthropoda; Malacostraca; Decapoda; Portunidae
Exons: 3
Source: RefSeq, a predicted model, not a curated record